This is a long non-coding RNA of Amphiprion ocellaris (clown anemonefish), 528 nucleotides long. The record is from Ensembl. Lineage: Eukaryota; Metazoa; Chordata; Actinopteri; Pomacentridae.
GACGGCGUGAAAACGGAAACAAGUGUGCCGUCUCACUGUGCUGCAUACAAUUACACACUGCGUCGUACGAUUGAGACAAGGAAACUUGGAAUGACUUUUCAUAGGUUUCCCAGAGACUAUGGGUUGAGGAGGAAUUGGAAGUUUGUCGGCUUAGACCUGGUGUCAUUCCAUCAGUGUUAAACUUCCCGGCUCAUCUUGGAAGAGUACGUGCCAGAAAGACCACGACCAAGCAGCCUUGAGAUCUUAGGCAGCGUCUCCCUGAGGUCCCUCUCUAUCUCCCCACACAUCCACCAACCACUGGAACACAUCUCCAAAGUUCUGCCAGGCCAGCUCAGCUUCCUCUCAGAAGAAGUUCCACCAGAUGAAAGAGCCUUUUGAGAGGCAGCUGGCAUCGUGAUUGGACUGUACUUUGGUCUGUUCCAAUCCAGCUUCAGCUCCAGAGACGGCAGGCGGGACGAGUCAACGGAGGCCUGGUGGACAAAGGCAUGCAGCUGAGUACAAUCCAGAAAACAACAGAGGAGGAGUGCA